GACAGAGGCCUCAAGCGUUAGGCGGAAUCACUGGGCUUAACGCGUGUGUAGGCGGAUCGUUAAGUGUCUUGUGAAAUCCCACGGCUCACCCGUGGAACUGCUGGGCAUACUGGCGAUCUUGGGCCAACUAGGGGCAGCCGGAACAAGCGGUGGAGCGGUGAAAUGCGUAGAUAUCGCUUGGAACGCCGAAGGUGAAAACAGGCUGCUGGGGUUGCGCCGACGCUGAGACACGAAAGCCAGGGGAGCAAACGGG
RNAcentral lists this ribosomal RNA (253 nucleotides) under uncultured bacterium. RNAcentral's name for it is "partial 16S ribosomal RNA". It matches the Rfam family "Bacterial small subunit ribosomal RNA", at positions 524 to 776 of the family's 1533-position model. The record is from RNAcentral.